CACUGUUGGGAUCUGAGCAUUGUUCUUGAAAUCUAAAAUCGGCAGAAGACUAACACUCCAAUAUAUGAAAUAUCACUAUAGUUUAAUGUUCAGAUUUUACAAGGAAAUCAAGCUACUUAACAAACAUAUUUCAGCCAUUUCAAGUUGACCAUUUCAGUAAAAUCAAUCAUGAAGUUAAUAUGUCCCUAAAUUCGUGGACAUAUAUAAAGAUAAGCAGUAUGUACAUAGAGCAACCAAAUCAUAUAUUUGGUCAGUGUAUUUUGAGGUAAAGUAUAUACUGCAGCAAAAGCAUUAUCAACUAACAGCAUAAAUCUGGACUGAUUGAAUAGAAACUUUGAUAGGACUUUAAAACUCUUACUCAGGAUUAAAAUUGUGGAAACCAGGGGAGAUACCCAAGCAUGUUUAAACUUAAGAAUAUUUCAUGAAAGUGAUGUUUCUAUACAAAUGUUUAUAAAGAAAGCGGUCGUUAUUUUUCUUAGAUGGACAUAGCAAUUGAUUGUGGUUGUUCUUAAUCAGUACCAGCUUUCAAUCAGACAGACGAAACAGCUGAUUAAGAUGAGAACAGACUAAUAUGACUGUAUGCUAAGCCUGUUGAUUUCAUGAGACGGUCUUGUGGGCAUGAAGGGCAAGGUG
This 633-nucleotide long non-coding RNA is filed under the name Bos taurus (domestic cattle). RNAcentral's name for it is "long non-coding RNA NONBTAT015881". Lineage: Eukaryota; Metazoa; Chordata; Mammalia; Artiodactyla; Bovidae. The record is from RNAcentral.